RNAcentral lists this ribosomal RNA (482 nucleotides) under uncultured bacterium. RNAcentral describes it as "bacterial SSU rRNA". It matches the Rfam family "Bacterial small subunit ribosomal RNA", at positions 29 to 509 of the family's 1533-position model. The record is from RNAcentral.
AGCGAACGUUUGCGGCGGGCCUAACACAUGCAAGUCGAACGCACUAGCAAUAGUGAGUGGCGCACGGGUGCGUAACACGUGGGUAAUCAACCCUUCAGCUUGGGAUAACGACUUGAAAGGGUCGCUAAUACCGGAUACGGCGCGGGAGGCUUCGGCUUCUCACGAGAAAGCCUCGCAAGGGGCACUGAAGGACGAGCCUGCGGCCCAUCAGCUAGUUGGUGAGGUAAGAGCUCACCAAGGCGAAGACGGGUAGCUGGUCUGAGAGGAUGAUCAGCCACACUGGAACUGAGACACGGUCCAGACUCCUACGGGAGGCAGCAGUGGGGAAUAUUGCGCAAUGGGCGAAAGCCUGACGCAGCCACGCCGCGUGAGCGAUGAAGGCCUCGGGUCGUAAAGCUCUGUGGGGAGGAGACGAAGAAAGACCCGUGAGAGCCGGCCGUUGACGGUAAGUCUCCUUAGCAAGCACCGGCUAACUCCGUGCC